AGAGUUUGAUCCUGGCUCAGGAUGAACGCUGGCGGCGUGCCUAAUACAUGCAAGUAGAACGCUGAAGCUUGGUGCUUGCACCGAGCGGAUGAGUUGCGAACGGGUGAGUAACGCGUAGGUAACCUGCCUGGUAGCGGAGGAUAACUAUUGGAAACGAUAGCUAAUACCGCAUAACAGUAGAUGUUGCAUGACAUUUGCUUGAAAGGGGCAAUUGCUCCACUACCAGAUGGACCUGCGUUGUAUUAGCUAGUAGGUGAGGUAACGGCUCACCAAGGCGACGAUACAUAGCCGACCUGAGAGGGUGAUCGGCCACACUGGGACUGAGACACGGCCCAGACUCCUACGGGAGGCAGCAGUAGGGAAUCUUCGGCAAUGGGGGCAACCCUGACCGAGCAACGCCGCGUGAGUGAAGAAGGUUUUCGGAUCGUAAAGCUCUGUUGUAAGAGAAGAACGAGUGUGAGAGUGGAAAGUUCACACUGUGACGGUAACUUACCAGAAAGGGACGGCUAACUACGUGCCAGCAGCCGCGGUAAU
RNAcentral lists this ribosomal RNA (534 nucleotides) under uncultured bacterium. RNAcentral describes it as "bacterial SSU rRNA". It matches the Rfam family "Bacterial small subunit ribosomal RNA", at positions 8 to 524 of the family's 1533-position model. The record is from RNAcentral.